CAGAAUGAACGCUGGCGGCGUGCUUAACACAUGCAAGUCGAACGGUAACAGGAAGUAGCUUGCUACUUUGCUGACGAGUGGCGCACGGGUGAGUAAUAUAUAGAUAAUGUGCCUCUUAGUCUGGGAUAGCCAUUGGAAACGAUGAUUAAUACUGGAUACUCCUUCUUACCAAAAGGUAAGUUGGGAAAGUUUUUCGCUAAGAGAUCGGUCUAUAUCCCAUCAGCUUGUUGGUAGUGUAAGAGACUACCAAGGCGAUGACGGGUAGCGGGUUUGAGAGGAUGAUCCGCCACACUGGUACUGAGACACGGACCAGACUCCUACGGGAGGCAGCAGUGAGGAAUAUUGCACAAUGGGGGAAACCCUGAUGCAGCAACGCCGCGUGGAGGAUGACGCAUUUCGGUGUGUAAACUCCUUUUAUAUGUCAAGAAAAUGACGGUAGCAUAUGAAUAAGCACCGGCUAACUCCGUGCCAGCAGCCGCGGUAAUACGGAGGGUGCAAGCGUUAUUCGGAAUCACUGGGCGUAAAGGACGCGUAGGCGGGUUGGAAAGUCAGAUGUGAAAUCCUACAGCUUAACUGUAGAACUGCAUUUGAAACUUCCAAUCUAGAGUAUGGGAGGGGGAGAUGGAAUUAGUGGUGUAGGGGUAAAAUCCGUAGAUAUCACUAGGAAUACCGAAAGCGAAGGCGAUCUCCUGGAACAUAACUGACGCUAAGGCGUGAAAGCGUGGGGAGCAAACAGGAUUAGAUACCCUGGUAGUCCACGCCCUAAACGAUGUUCACUAGUCGUCGGGAUGCUAGUCAUCUCGGUGAUGCACUUAACAGAUUAAGUGAACCGCCUGGGGAGUACGGUCGCAAGAUUAAAACUCAAAGGAAUAGACGGGGACCCGCACAAGUGGUGGAGCAUGUGGUUUAAUUCGAAGAUACGCGAAGAACCUUUACCUAGCCUU
Molecule: ribosomal RNA, 944 nt
Filed under: Sulfurimonas sp. 37-8
Lineage: Bacteria; Pseudomonadati; Campylobacterota; Epsilonproteobacteria; Campylobacterales; Sulfurimonadaceae
Description: bacterial SSU rRNA
Rfam family: Bacterial small subunit ribosomal RNA
Source: RNAcentral